GAUUUCUGGUUCGGCGCGCCUCGCCCGUCUUGGUCUUCAAGACUGUGUGCCUGGUGCGCCUUCCAUCCUUCGAGUAAUCCUCUGUGCCUUCACGGGUACGGGGGCCUACCUCGAUCUUUUACUUUGAAAAAAUUAGAGUGUUUAAAGCAGGCUUGCGCUAUGAAUACAUUAGCAUGGAAUAAUAAUUUAGGACUUCGGUUCUAUUUUGUUGGUUUCUAGGACUGAAGUAAUGAUUGAUAGGGAUAGUUGGGGGUGCUAGUAUUCAGCGGCCAGAGGUGAAAUUCUCGGAUUCGCUGAAGACUAACUUAUGCGAAAGCAUU
RNAcentral lists this ribosomal RNA (320 nucleotides) under Cercomonas sp. RNAcentral's name for it is "SSU rRNA". The stretch from base 107 to 320 matches the Rfam family "Eukaryotic small subunit ribosomal RNA", at positions 740 to 955 of the family's 1831-position model. Lineage: Eukaryota; Cercozoa; Cercomonadida; Cercomonadidae. The record is from RNAcentral.